RNAcentral lists this ribosomal RNA (441 nucleotides) under uncultured bacterium. RNAcentral's name for it is "bacterial SSU rRNA". It matches the Rfam family "Bacterial small subunit ribosomal RNA", at positions 57 to 511 of the family's 1533-position model. The record is from RNAcentral.
GCAGUCGAACGAGAAACGGAUUUAGCUUGCUAAAUUGCAGUCUAAGUGGCGCACGGGUGAGUAAUGUAUAGGUAACAUGCCUUCUACUAGGGGAUAACAGUUGGAAACGACUGCUAAUACCCUAUAUUCCUUAUUAGCACAAGUGUGUAAGGGAAAGAUUCAUUGGUAGAAGAUUGGCCUAUAUUGUAUCAGCUAGUUGGUAGUGUAAUGGACUACCAAGGCUAUGACGCAUAACUGGUUUGAGAGGAUGAUCAGUCACACUGGAACUGAGACACGGUCCAGACUCCUACGGGAGGCAGCAGUGGGGAAUAUUGCACAAUGGGCGAAAGCCUGAUGCAGCAACGCCGCGUGGAGGAUGACACAUUUCGGUGCGUAAACUCCUUUUAUAUGGGAAGAUAAUGACGGUACCAUAUGAAUAAGCACCGGCUAACUCCGUGCCAG